GCCGAGGUGGCGGAACAGGCAGACGCGGUGGACUCAAAAUCCACUGGGGUUUACCCCCGUGCGGGUUCGACUCCCGCCCUCGGCA
RNAcentral lists this transfer RNA (85 nucleotides) under Caldimicrobium thiodismutans. It matches the Rfam family "tRNA". From Rfam's summary of the family: Transfer RNA (tRNA) molecules are approximately 80 nucleotides in length. Their secondary structure includes four short double-helical elements and three loops (D, anti-codon, and T loops). Lineage: Bacteria; Pseudomonadati; Thermodesulfobacteriota; Thermodesulfobacteria; Thermodesulfobacteriales; Thermodesulfobacteriaceae. The record is from Rfam by way of RNAcentral.